GAUGAACGCUGGCGGCGUGCCUAAUACAUGCAAGUCGAGCGAACAGACGAGGAGCUUGCUCCUCUGACGUUAGCGGCGGACGGGUGAGUAACACGUGGAUAACCUACCUAUAAGACUGGGAUAACUUCGGGAAACCGGAGCUAAUACCGGAUAAUAUAUUUAACCGCAUGGUUCAAUAGUGAAAGACGGUUUUGCUGUCACUUAUAGAUGGAUCCGCGCCGCAUUAGCUAGUUGGUAAGGUAACGGCUUACCAAGGCAACGAUGCGUAGCCGACCUGAGAGGGUGAUCGGCCACACUGGAGCUGAGACACGGUCCAGACGCCUACGGGAGGCAGCAGUAGGGAAUCUUCCGCAGUGGGCGAAAGCCUGACGGAGCAACGCCGCGUGAGUGAUGAAGGUCUUCGGAUCGUAAAGCUCUGUUAUUAGGGAAGAACAAAUGUGUAAGUAACUAUGCACGUCUUGACGGUACCUAAUCAGAAAGCCACGGCUAACUACGUG
RNAcentral lists this ribosomal RNA (497 nucleotides) under uncultured bacterium. RNAcentral's name for it is "partial 16S ribosomal RNA". It matches the Rfam family "Bacterial small subunit ribosomal RNA", at positions 28 to 507 of the family's 1533-position model. The record is from RNAcentral.